Molecule: ribosomal RNA, 240 nt
Filed under: uncultured Anaerococcus sp.
Lineage: Bacteria; Bacillati; Bacillota; Tissierellia; Tissierellales; Peptoniphilaceae
Description: partial 16S ribosomal RNA
Rfam family: Bacterial small subunit ribosomal RNA
Source: RNAcentral
GAUUAACGCUGGCGGCGUGCAUAACACAUGCAAGUCGAACGAUGAAACUUUAAUGAACCCUUCGGGGAGAAUUAAAGCGGAUUAGUGGCGAACGGGUGAGUAACGCGUGAGUAACCUGCCUUACACAAGGGGAUAGCCUUUGGAAACGAAGAAUAAUACCCUAUAAAACCAUAAAGGCACAUGCAAUUAUGGUCAAAGUAUUAGCGGUGUAAGAUGGACUUGCGUCUGAUUAGCUAGUUG